CCUGCAAUAUUGAUCCAUUGUCAAUUCACAGCAGUACAGCUCACAGCAGAUCACGUUAAAGACAGACCAUCGACGGCAUCACAGAAAACUAAAGGACACAUAAAAAAACAAGAAAAUAAACAUGCAAACACAAACACCAACAGUCAUCGCUGGAAAAAUCUUUGGCUUGGCAGAACCAAGAGAAACAACAACCAACGAUAGAAGCCACCCACCAACAACCAACAAAAAAGCGACAGGAAAAGCCAUACAAUCCAAAGAAACCCUUAGCAAGAAAGAAGCAAACGCAUAAGCCAUCAGCUAAGGGGAGGAUGCGACAGAGCUCACACGAGAGCGUUGGUCAAUGGGCGUGGCAGUGCGGUCUCGAGAUGCCUACGUCGCCUAAUUAAAGAAACAGAUCCAGACAACACCCUCCAUUUGAAUCAACAAAGGACUUGCAAAACAUAAAAUAAACAUGCAAACAGGGAUGAUAAUACCAGAGAACCAUCAAAGCAAAGCCGACCAAACUGGAAACCUCACAGUAACCGACACGAAAGCAUAAAUCCAAAACCACAAAAGCAGUACCCUACCGAUGACCACUUCAACUUCU
RNAcentral lists this long non-coding RNA (586 nucleotides) under Manihot esculenta (cassava). RNAcentral describes it as "long non-coding RNA (MESC_LNC000516)". Lineage: Eukaryota; Viridiplantae; Streptophyta; Magnoliopsida; Malpighiales; Euphorbiaceae. The record is from RNAcentral.